AGCCAGCCCCCCGGCCCCGCCAGCCGCUCGGCAAGAUGUAAAGUGCCAUCCAAACGCGAUGCAUUAUUAACACUUCAGAAAUCAUAUUUCACAGCCGCCCGCUGGAGCUGGGAAGGGGCUCUUUGCUCCUGCUCCCAGGCCGGGAGUUAUUGUUAGAGCCGCGUGUGACAGCAGAGACACGUGACCGGAGCUGAGACGGUGGAGGCCGGGGGCACCCGGGGGCGCCCGCACUCCCCUGCCCCCCGGAGCUGGCCCGACCAGGCAGGCAAGCGGACCCUCCCUCUCCCACCUUCUGGGAGACCCUGGCAGAGGGCAGGCUGAGCCCCCCACCGGGCCCCUUAGCUCCAGGCCACCCGUCCUGCCCCAUCCUGCUUGGUGAGGAGGAAUUCGAGGGUGGAGGAGGCUCCAGCCUGACGGAGGAGACAAGUCCCCAGGAUGGACACAAGGGCAGGAGAUCCAGAAGGUCACGACGGCGGGGGCUUCCCAGGAAAGGAGGGUCCAGGUCCGCUUGGGGAGGAGCAGACUGUGUGGUCCAGGGCCAGCCUUCAAUAUUUGCCGUGCCUGGAAGGAGACGCGGGGAGGGCGCCCAGCAGCCCUGGCGACAUAUAAAUUCUGCUCAUAAUUACAUGACUUUCAACACCACGAGAUGCCAAUAAAACACCAGCCUCAGGGCCCCGGGCUCCCUGCCCCGUCUCUUGAAACCCCAGCUCUGUUAGGCCCGCCAAAACACAGGAUGUGAGCUCUGCUCUUCCAGAAGGAGGUGGGGAAGCCUCCCUCCCCUUCCCAAGCCCGGGCCCUCUCCGGCUCCCACCUUCCCGACUGUGGACUGGGCAGCCCCUUCCCACCUGCCGGCCCAGUGGCAAGUACCAGCCCCACCUUCCAGCACUGUCUUCUCAGGGGAAACCCAGGGCAGGGGCGGCAGGAGGGGGUGGGGGCAGCAGGAGAGCCCCUCUGACCCGCGCGCAGACGCCCUCUGCUAAGGGGAGGCCCCCGUGGGCCCCAUCACACCCACCCCCACCCACAGUGUGGGCGGCGAGCGGGUCAGGAACCUGGUCCUCCCCCCUGUCUAGGCCCAGCCGCCCCACACGGGUCCUCGCAGGAGGUACUCGGUACAAGACACAUCUGCUGAAUCGGACAGAACGGAGGAGGCUGGAUGACCAGCAGCGCUCACAGCUUGGCACGGGACAGACGUUCCUAGAGACGGCAGCAAAAACCACCUGGGCUGGAAACCAGAACGGGGUUCGACUCCAGCUCUGCCCCUUCCUCCCUCCCUGCGCCCCCAGCCUCAUCCGCUAAGUGCAUGGCCCGGAGGGGACACGGAUUUGGCACCGCCCCCUCUCGAGAGGGUGGGGCCUUCCAAGGACCGGUGGGGGGCCCUGAGAGCCAUUGGCAGAAAACGUCGUGUGCCACGGGCCCGCCACUCUGCGCUCAGCAUGCUUCUGCGAUACUAAAACACUCAGUAAUAGCAAUAAUGGUGCCUCCACCAACAUCCACAGGCAACUGGUUGGCAAGAAAUCUCGUAACUUAUGCAGGAGGAUUCCCGUCGUGCUGAGGCCCCCAGGAUCCGACCCAUUCUCACCACAAACAACUUUCUGCCUCUGGUUCCAGCCAAGCCAGAGAGAACCUUGAACGCUAAACAAUUCAGUUCAGUUCUGUUCCACACGAAGCAGCAACAAGUCUUGGGGACCUACUGUGUGCCAGAGUUUCUACUGAGUUCCGCGGAGAUAAGGGGAUUAAUACGGAGCAGCCGAGCUCCUGGGGCGUCUCUAAUAAAUAGCUUUAGUUAGAGAUAAGGCUCGGGCCAGGCAUGGGCUUUGGUGUUCAGGAGAGACAUGAUUAAUCCUGAUGGUGGGAAGAGAGGCCUCUGGGCAGAGACUAUGUAAGGGGCACAACAACCCUCCCCCCCCAGCAGAUACGGAGGUGAAGCGAUUCCGGGCAGAGAGAACACUGGGGACAAAGGCAGGGCAGUGUGUGGUGUGUGUGGGGAAGAGUCUGGGAGGGCGGGAGCUCGGGGGACUUGUGCAAGGGUAGGUUGUCAGGAUUAAAGUGAUAAUCCCCUGCAUUGUACUUGCAAACAACAUGUGCACGGCAAUUACAAGGUACCACAUUUUUACGGCUUAUGGGACCCAAGACGGGGCAGGUGGACUGGGGUCAGGUUGUGGCAGGUCCUGCAUUCACCCCUCUGCACCUACCCUCCCGGGCCUCAGCCACCGUGCUGGCGGCUGGGGGUCCGCAGUGGGAUCCCACCGCCUCCUGCUCCCCAGAGAACGUACAUGGGAGCACGACUGCCACGGGUAAUGCCUCACGGGCUUACAGGCCCGGUGAUGACAUAUGGAAGGGACGCCGUGGGUGCACAGAGAGAAAAAGAGUCCAUUUCACCUGGGGCGAGGUGAGGGAAGGCCUCCCAGGGAGGCCAGAGCCCUGGGACUGGGGUUUGCAGAGUGGGAGGCGUCCCAGGGUCAGAGGACGGGAGCCUCACCGCGGGGCUGGCCUGUUUCCCCCGGGAAGACCGUAAACGCGAGCAAGGGCUCCGAGGCAGGAUGUCUGGGGGACGGCGGCAUCGGCAUGUGGUUCUGAUGAGAGACAGAAGACACAAGCAGGCUGGGCCGGGUCCGUGCUGCCCUACCCAGUCACGGGACGGGCUCCAUCCUGUCGCAGCCGGAGGGGAUGAUGGAGCAGGAGGCGGACGGCCCCGCCAGCAGCCAGGGGCCGGCACCGUGGGGAGCU
This is a long non-coding RNA of Mustela erminea (ermine), 2727 nucleotides long. RefSeq lists it as uncharacterized. The record is from RefSeq and is a predicted model, not a curated record. Lineage: Eukaryota; Metazoa; Chordata; Mammalia; Carnivora; Mustelidae. The transcript has 3 exons.